Molecule: long non-coding RNA, 1267 nt
Organism: Triticum aestivum (bread wheat)
Lineage: Eukaryota; Viridiplantae; Streptophyta; Magnoliopsida; Poales; Poaceae
Exons: 3
Source: RefSeq, a predicted model, not a curated record
UUCCUCCUCUGCCUUGUUCUUCCUGGACAUUGAGUCCGAUCCCAAAUCUUCGCCCGAAUCGCAUAGAUCCUUGCCCCUUGCCACACCUGACUCUUUAUAAGUAAUCUCCACCUCUGACUCUUCCGAUUUUUCAAAAAAAUUGGACCUCCCGUGCCCUGGAGCUCCCGAUCGGAUCUCGCCGGAGUUGCGCCAUCGCAGGAGGUUUUCGCCGGUUGUUUCCGUCGCGCCUGGUAGUACCGAGCCGAGAGCAAGUGCCUCGAUCCGAAGAUCACAGCCACCGCCCGACCUCUGUCACCACCGAGCGUAGCUGCGACGGGAGCAUCCCCCGCUCUACACCAAUAGCACCAUCGUCCUCGGAGCUUCGCGGCGCACACGCCUCUGUACUUCUCCGUCGCCUAGUACCGCUGGAGCCGCCGCCCCGUCCACAACCGCAGCGACCGUGCCGGUCUUCCCCAACUCCGGCCAGCGUAUUCUGCUCUUUUCGCUCAAGGAGAAUGGCCAGAGGCAAACUAUGAUCUUGGAAUACAAGGUUAAAUUAGCUGAACAUGCAUAUGGGCCGGAGAAAUCAUGCAUGGACGUGGGACUCCUCUUGGUUGACCAAUGGGAAAAUGAGUUUGGCUCAUCCACGUACAUGACAGUGAAGUGGCGCCACCAAUAUAUAAUGUUGCUCACGAGACUGUGUAUUUUCAGCUCAAGGAGAAUGGCCAGAGGCAAACUAUGAUCUUGGAAUACAAGGUUAAAUUAGCUGAACAUGCAUAUGGGCCGGAGAAAUCAUGCAUGGACGUGGGACUCCUCUUGGUUGACCAAUGGGAAAAUGAGUUUGGCUCAUCCACGUACAUGACAGGUAACAAGGCAAGUCAGUUUGUAAAGGAAAGUGAUCAAAAGAGACAGGAAAAUAAAGACUGUUAUUUUUUUAGUCGGUCACGACCACCAGAAGUUGCUGAUGGUUUGCCUAACAAGCAUCGCUCGUGGAGAUUAUUCUCCCUGAAGGACACGGGCUGGGGUCGACCAACAUGCAUGGCAAUUAGAGAUAACGUGCAUGACACAAAUAUUAGAUACAUCUGUUUAAAUUUUUCUGGUUCUAGUCGGUUGGGUACUUUUCUUUUGGGUCAAGUCAGAGGUGCGUCUACUACUAUAAAGCUGAGCCUACGUGCUUUGUAGUUUUUAGGUUAUGUUUUCUACAGGUUAGACAACAUGUGUAUCAAAUAUUAAGCGGCUUUUUUUGGGUGUCGUUGUUAAUUAUUUUGUGUGAUUUUUCUGCGUGAAA